UUUUUUUUUUUUUUUUAAAUACUGCUCUCUGGGUCCCACCUCUUCAGAUUCUAGUUUAAUUGGUCUAGAAUGCAGCCAGAAAUUGACAUUUUUAAAAGCUCCCCAGGUGGGUCUCAUGUGCACCCAAGAACCACUGUAUCAGAACCUGGCAACUCUCCUAUUUCUUGGAGCAGAAAGUGCUGCUGCUUCUCCAGAAAGGCUAAAAGCAGGAUGUUUUUGGUAGAACACUAGUAGCACCAGAGGAUGUUAAUAGGAGUUACAUGAAAAAAAGUCUUCUAUAGUCAUAUACGUAAUAUAUUUAUUUUUAUUUUAUUUUAUCUUUUUUGAGAUAGGGUCUCAGUAUGCUGCCCAGGCUGAUCUCAAACUCCUGGGUUCAAUCAAUCCUCCCGCCUCAGCCUCCUAAGCAGCUGGGAUUAUAGCUACUACCACGCCCAGCUAGUAAUAUAUUUCAUUACAAUUAUCAACUGUUAUUGAACACUCACUGCAUUCCUGGAGCUAAGCUAUAUGUUUUAGCUACUCAUACUAUCUCAUGUAAUCUUCACAGCAAGCCUAUGAGAAAGGUACUAUUAAUCCCUAUUUUAUAGAAGGGCAGACUAAGCUCAGUGGGGUUAAGUAAUUGCCCAAUGUCCAGUAAGCAAUAGGGCUGGGAUUCAAAUCCAGAGUGGCUUUGACACUGAAACCCAUGCUCUUUUUUAUUUUUUCCUUUUUCUUCCAAGAAUUACAAGGGGUCAGGUACAGUGGUUCAUGCCUGAAUCCCACCCACACAUGCUGUUUUAUGAGUGGCAGUACCCUUCUUUCUCUCCACCUGGCAAACUCCUCUUGUUCUUUGAGAGGUAGCUCAAGUGCUAAAACGACAAUAGCUAUCACCUCUUAAAGGCUUUCCAGGCACCGUGUUCAGCACUUGCCUUGUCUCAUUUAGACAAUAUUGUCUCAAUGUCUUUUUUUUUUCUUGAGAUGGAGUUCGAGCUUGUCACCCAGGCUGGAGUGCAGUGGUGUGAUCUCAGCUCACUACAGCUUCCGGCUUCCAGGUUCAAGUGAUUUCCUUGCCUCAGCCUCCCAAGUAACUGGGAUUACAAGCACACACAACCAUGCCUGGCUAAUUUUUUUGUGUUUUUAGUAGAGACAGAGUUUCGCCAUGUUGGCCAGGCUAGUCUUGAACUCCUGACCUAAGGUGAUCCGCCCACCUCAGCCUCCUAAAGUGCUAGGAUUAUAGCCAUGAGCCACCGCACCCAGCCUCAAUGUCUUAAUAUUGCCUCUGAAUUGUUCUUUAUCUCUCCUGUGCCAAAUGGGCUUCGGUCCCCUCUCUAGUUCCAAGGCAUUUGACCGCAUCUCUUCUGUGGUGCUCAGCACUCUGGUAAUUGCUGGUUUCAGAUCUGCCUCUUGCAUUGGACUGGAUGCUCUCAGAAGACAAGGGAUAUGUAUUGUUCACCUUUACAUCCUAUCAUAGCGCCACCCAGCACAUGGUAGGUAUUCAAUAAAUGGGAGAGUGUGGACAGCAGGCUGGCCAAGAGACUGAAAAUUCACGAAGAAUUUCUGUUCUGCCAUGAGAGAGUGGUCCUUUCACUUAGAACAAGAGCUGUAAAAUCAAACUGGGCAAAACAGACCUGGCUAAUGGGCGAGGAGGGUGGGCCUUGGGACCAGAACCAGGACAUACCUCGCCUGGCCCCUGUGCUUUGCCUCCUGUGAGAGGGUGGGCUAAGAUUGUUCUGGUCUUCACAGUCUCUUUUCCACUCUGCAUGCUUUGCAAUUGGCUCUAUCUAUCCCUGCUGAGGGGAUUUGUUAUAAAACAAUGGUUAGGUUCAUUCCACAGCACUGAUUCAGUUGAUUUUCUCAACUGCUCCUUGUGUUGCGUUGCUUUUAAGAUGUCUCAAGUGAAUGAAGAGCUAUCUAGGACAGGUGGGCCCAAAGAAAAUGUAUCUAGCUAAGGAUUGGUUCCCCCCAGGUGGGUCGACUAGAUGGUCAUACCCCUUUCUAUAUGGGCCUGUUCUUUUUCAGAAGGAGGCCCCUUUACAAGAUAUAGACAGAUGUUUGAUGUUCACUCAUUGAUUGAAAACCAUUCUGUGGAUCCACUCUACCACAGGCCUGUUCAGAGCACACCUGCUUGUAACCCCUGUGGUAAACAACUUAUUUAUGCCACCCACAUCCAACCUCUAUGAGCUUCAAGGCUGCUGAUUUUUAAAGCCAGCCUCCUGUUCCCUUGCUCACACUCUAUCUGGACCAACAUACAGAUCUGCCCAGGUUUGAGUGAUCGGUAAUCAGUGCCAGCUGCAAACUCAGCUGGGUUUCCCCACAGGCUCCCUCAAACGAACCCUAUUUGUAAACAUGGAAACUACCAAAGAGACUAUUUUAAAAUUACUCACCCCUUCCUAACUUCCCACUUCUUCUGCUGCCCUAUUAAGGAUAAGCUCCAUUAUUUUUUUUUUCUUCUAAUCAAGUUGUUUUCUUUUGAGAAUUUCAAGCCUCCUCACACUGUGGGACAUAGUGCAUACGGUAUUUUGUGAAUUUAUUUGUAAUAUUCAUGAAUAUAGAGUUUAUCAAACAAAAGUUAGUUAAGCUUAUGCAUUUCUCUAGCACAAUGUGAACCAUAUGGUUUUGCUCUCAUUUUAUUUGUUCCUGUGUCUGCCAACUCCAGGAGAUGGGAUCAACCUGAGGGCAAAGGCUGGUUUCAUUUAAUUUUGUAUCCAAUUCCAAGCACAAGGCCAGGUAUAAUGUAGUUUCUGAAUAUUUGAUCGUCAUUAUGUAGGCAUAAUCCAAAAGGUCAUAAAAUCUAAAAAUUACUGCAGCACCUGCUGCAGAAACGUUCUGUUUUAUAUCUAUCAGACUGACAAAAAUGAAAGUUACUUAAUCCUCAGUGCUGGAGAAUAGAUGGGGGAAACAGUCAUACACUGUUGAGGAAACAGAAAUUGGUUCAGCCUCUUUGGAGAACAGUUUAGCAAUGUCUAUCAUAGUUGAAACUGCCAGGAUUUUUCCUUAUGAAUAAAAUCAUCAGUGUAUAGAGUAUACAAAGACAUAUACACUGGUCAGACAAGGAUGUUGCAAUAUUGUACAUUUGUAGGAGGAAAAAACUGGAAACUAUCUUAGCCAUCAUCAAGAAACUAGAAAAUAAAUGAUAGUACAUUAUCACUGGACUAUCAGAUAGCCUUAAAGAUCCAGGUAUAUCUGUGUGUUGGCAUGUGCUCAGAUAAAUUAGCUGAGAAAGAAGAUCUCGGAAGAGUUUUGUAUAGUUGUGUUAAAAAGAAAAAUGGAUAAACAUGUAAAAGAAUAUGGGUUUGUAUAUGCAUAUGAAAUUUAUGGAAAGAUACAUAAAACAUUCAUAGAUUUAUUCUGGGGAAAAGGGAUGAGUGGCUGGGAAGAUGGGGAAAAUAUACUUAUGAUACACUUAUACUUUGUGUAAUUAAAAAGCAUGAUAUACAGCAAUAGGAAAACAAAAGCUUAAGUUAUAUAUAAAAGAAAAAAAGUGAAUGACAUUUUGGUGAAAAUCUUUACUAUAUUUUUAUAAGGUAAUAGGCAAUAUUUAUAAGACAGCAUUUCCUCUCUGUCCCGUCCAUGGGAUAGCCAAUGACAGCAACAGUUCCAGAAAGAAAACCAGAGAGAGAAAAUCACCAAAAAGGGCUAAGAGCCCUAAAGAGAAUAAGUGUCAAAAUGUGUACCUUUUACUUGUUCUUGGAUGCGAGGAAAUAAAGCCAGUUCUGAUUAAGAGUCUGAACUAAGACAUUCUGAGAACUCACCAGGCUGGCACAGACUCUGGGGCCAAGAAGCAGAGACUAGGAAUGCCCAGAUAAGUAAUGGCCAUAAGUAACCUAGUGAACAAAACGAAUGACCGAGCUCCUGGGGACAUAAUGACACAGUGCUCUGCUCACCUAUUUCCCCAGCCCCUGAAUACUCCUAGGGACUAACUCAAUGAUAAUAACACCAUAAGAAUAGUUGGCAUGUAUCAGGAACCUCCUACCUGUCAAGCAGAGGCUAAAUGCCUAAUCAUAUCAAUUUAUAUUAUGUUAUUAUUAUUCCUGUUUUACACAUGGGGAAAUUGUGGCUCAGCAAAUAUAUGCAUGUAACUUACUCAAGGUUACAGUCAGUGCUGGAGGUAGGAAUCAAACCUGUACCUGACUCUAAAGCCAGCCAAGGUCAUUGCUAGCCUUCCCCGCUCUGAGGGAAGGAUAAGAAAAAAGCACUCCCUCCGAGCAGGGAGUAGGGACAGCUCCAUAAAGAGAAGACAGCAUUUUUAUGCAAAGAAAGGGCCAGAGAGUGUAGUGAUUCAAUGCAAGGACUUUGAAGCCUGAAUUCGAAUCUUGACUUUGCCAUUUACUGGCUGUGUGACCUUGAGUAAGUCAUUGAACCUGUGCUUCACUUUCCCAAGCAGCAAAAUCAGAGUAGCAAGAAAGUCAUCCCUGGCCAGACGCAGUGGCUCAUGCCUGUAAUCCCAACACCUUGGGAGGCCGAGGCGGGCGGGUCACCUGAGGUCAGGAGUUUGAGACCAGCCGGGUCAACAUGGUGAAACCCCGUCUCUACUGAAAAUACAAAAUGCAGCUGGGAGUAGUGGCGGGUGCCUGUAAUCUCAGCUUCUCGGGAGGUUGAGGCAGGAGAAUCACUUGAACCUGGGAGGUGGAGGUUGCAGUUAGCUGAGAUCGCUCUACUGCACUCCAGCCUGGACGACAGAGCAAGACUCUGUCUCAAAAUAAAUAAAAUAAUAAUAAUAACCAUAAUGUUACCCCUUACAGUUGUUAGGAGGACUGAAGGAGUUAAAUAGACAGCACCUGGCUCAUAACAAGUACCAAGUGAUCAUGAUGAGUAUUAAGAAAAAGGUGCCCUUCCCUCUAAGCAGAUGCAACCCUGCAGGGUGCAGAGUUUGGCAAGUGGAUCACAGGCUAGAUUUCAGCCUCUCCUUUAGCCGAGUGCCACUGUGCCUAUCAGCAAUACACAACUCUACAACCUUGCAUAGGUCCUGCUGAGCAAUUAACCUGCAUGUACUGGCAGUUCUUCCUCCCACCUUCCCUUCCAUCAGCCUAGCUGUGAAUCAGAAUCACCUGGCACACUUUGAAAAAAAUACAGACUUUCAGGGCCCUACCUUGGCCAAUUCUAACACAGGUGGACUGGGCUAGGGCCCAGGCAUCUGUACUUUUCACAAAUUCCAGGUGACCAGAUGACCCAGAAACAGCAUGCUCCUGGAUAUGUGUUUUUGGAAGUACUCAAAGUUCAUCAUUCUGGCCGACAUUCUGGCUGUCUGAGUUGCUUCUUGAGAUGAAGCUUCCUCUUUGUCAAGUCUGGUCCCAGGCCUGGGCACACGGGGAAGGGGCACAGUGAACAUCUGUGACUCUGCAAGUCAGCCAGCACAGCAGAUGGCU
RNAcentral lists this long non-coding RNA (5342 nucleotides) under Macaca fascicularis (crab-eating macaque). RNAcentral's name for it is "lncRNA (ENSMFAG00000064482.1)". The record is from RNAcentral. Lineage: Eukaryota; Metazoa; Chordata; Mammalia; Primates; Cercopithecidae.